RNAcentral lists this ribosomal RNA (80 nucleotides) under Sinocyclocheilus anshuiensis. Lineage: Eukaryota; Metazoa; Chordata; Actinopteri; Cypriniformes; Cyprinidae. The record is from RNAcentral.
GUAGGUACUAAUUUCACCCUGUAGCCCAAGACUGGUUACCCACUGAAGCUAAGCAGGGCUGAGCCUGGUCAGUACCUGGU